UGGGGAAUUUUGGACAAUGGGCGAAAGCCUGAUCCAGCCAUGCCGCGUGAGUGAAGAAGGCCUUCGGGUUGUAAAGCUCUUUUAGUCGGAAAGAAAGAGUUGCAAUGAAUAAUUGUGAUUUAUGACGGUACCGACAGAAAAAGCACCGGCUAACUACGUGCCAGCAGCCGCGGUAAUACGUAGGGUGCGAGCGUUAAUCGGAAUUACUGGGCGUAAAGGGUGCGCAGGCGGUCUUGCAAGUCAGAUGUGAAAGCCCCGGGCUUAACCUGGGAAUUGCGUUUGAAACUACAAGGCUAGAGUGCAGCAGAGGGGAGUGGAAUUCCAUGUGUAGCAGUGAAAUGCGUAGAGAUAUGGAAGAACACCGAUGGCGAAGGCAGCUCCCUGGGUUGACACUGACGCUCAUGCACGAAAGCGUGGGGAGCAAACA
Molecule: ribosomal RNA, 427 nt
Filed under: uncultured beta proteobacterium
Lineage: Bacteria; Pseudomonadati; Pseudomonadota; Betaproteobacteria
Description: bacterial SSU rRNA
Rfam family: Bacterial small subunit ribosomal RNA
Source: RNAcentral